This is a long non-coding RNA of Patella vulgata (common limpet), 2103 nucleotides long. RefSeq lists it as uncharacterized. The transcript has 3 exons. NCBI's taxonomy places the organism in Eukaryota, Metazoa, Mollusca, Gastropoda, Patellidae. The record is from RefSeq and is a predicted model, not a curated record.
UACGCCGCAUAACAACGAAAAUUUACACUGAAACAAAAGACGUCUUUUAAUCAUUGUCUUCUGAUAUAUUUCACGUUAAUAUGUCUCUUUAAUCAUCAGAAUGAACGAGAUUUAUAUGAUCUAGUUAUGUGAUAUAGAGGAUUAUAGAAUUAACUUCUUGACAACAGGCUGUUACAAGUGUAUGUACAAGUAGGACAUGUACGGUAUAGCAUAGAUGAAGAAUCACAACUUCAAAUUGUUUUGAAGCAGAGGCCAACAUAAUUUUAUAUAAACUAUUUAUCGAGAAGGUGAAUGUGUUCACAUGUUACAGAUUAAUUAAAAAAAAUGGAUCGUUUACAACAUCUAAGAAGGGCCAAAGUUGUUGAUGAUAUAAAUAAUUUUCGACUUUUUGGCGAUUUGAGAAAAACGAACUUUGAACCAAGAAAACCAGUUUCACUCGGAUCAACUAUCCAUGCAGAACGGAGUAUGUUAAUGUUUGAACAAAGAAGAAAACGAUAUCCUGAUAAAGUGUGUUAUAAAGACUUAUAUACCUCUCUUAUACAAUCUUUACCAUCUUAUAAUGUCACACCUCGUGACGUCAGACGGCUUACCUGGAACACAUAGAGUCCUAAACUUCUCAUGAUUGUAAUAACUCAUAAAUGGCAAGGCCACUGACAGAAUGAAAAUUGACAAAGUGUGUCGAUAAUAGAAAGGCGUUACAAAAGAACAGUUUUAAAAGCAAAAGACACUGUUCUUGUAGCCUUGAUCUGGUAUUUCAAGACCCCCCACCCCCACCCCUCACCAUUAUAGUACGCCAUACUAAGCGCAUACUGAUGUGUAAAUUGUGAAUGUGGUAAAAUGUAUGUAUAAUCUGUGUGUUGUUAGUGUGAUAAAAUACUUGUAUAUACAUUUAUAUAUAUUUUUUUCGCAGUGUGUUAAAAUAAUAUUAUUUAUACCUGUUUAUUGUAAGUGUGAUAAAAUACAAAUAUAAUUUGUAGAGUGUGAGUGUCGUAGAAUAAUUGGGUGAUUUGUAUUGUGGGUGUGAUCGAAUAGAUUUAUAAUGGGUGCAUUGUGGUGUAACAAAAUACAUAUAAUGUGUACAUUUUGUGUGAUAAAAGUUGACAUAUUUAAAGGAUUUUGUUGCAUUAAAAGAUCUCUAUUUUGAAACUAGAUGGCUUUAUCUGUAAUUCUUGAAGCUAUAUAAUUUACGAACUCUUUAUCUAACUAGAUAACCUAGGUUAGAGCCAAAAGCUGGAGGGACCACCACGCCUAUCCCCAACUCCCUACCGAGUAAAAGCAUAAGCACCUAUUUAAUCCGCGUGUUGAAUUAGGAGAUAUGUUUUAACAAUCAAAGCUUCUUUACAUCCAAAAUUAUUGAAUACUACCCUUUGUUUAUCACUCGAUAAAGUUCCUUAAUAUAAACAAAUGCCAUUUUGCAUUGGUUGUCAGGCUGGUGUUGGUUACAAAACAGUAUGUUUAUUUUUUACCAAAAAGUAUUAGAUCGUCUUUAAUGCAACCCGAUUUAGUUUGUAAAUAAAUCCACCUAGUUUCCUUAAAUAACUAUUUUUCUUCACAAAUCAAAUAUUUAUGGGUCAAACAAAAAGAAAGCUUUCUCUAGAGAUGUAUUAUAAAUGGUUAAAUACACCCUGUUAAUUAUUGUAAUGACGGACUCAAUCUCAUUAUUUCUGAUAAAUGGUUUGUUAAUCUUAUUUUUCUGCAAUUUCUUUUAUCUUUAAGUUGGUUAAUUAACAAUAAUAUUUUAUUCAAAAAUCGAUCAUUCCUUUUAAAUUGAAAUAUUACAAUACAUAAGUUCUAAAUAUUUAACUAGCCUACCAAUAAUAACCUCGAUCACUGGUUCGGUGUUAAUAUAACACCGCGGUUUGCAAAAGCAUAAACAAUGUUAUGAAGACGAAAUACCCACAUUGGUGACUGUCAAAAUCGAUUUGACUCUCGGGGUGGUGAUUGGAAAAGUGGUUAGGAAGCUAUUGUAAGUGGGCGUCUGUUGCUUGUACAAAAUAUGGAUGUUAUGGAGUUUGCAAGGGAGUUCUACAGAUCAAAGCUGUUGUGCUCUAAAACAUAGAAAUAAAAUAUACAUGCCAGCGAGCCACUUCUUGUGAGAUUCUA